RNAcentral lists this ribosomal RNA (305 nucleotides) under uncultured bacterium. RNAcentral describes it as "bacterial SSU rRNA". It matches the Rfam family "Bacterial small subunit ribosomal RNA", at positions 337 to 658 of the family's 1533-position model. The record is from RNAcentral.
GCCUACGGGGGGCAGCAGUGGGGAAUAUUGCACAAUGGGGGGAACCCUGAUGCAGCGACGCCGCGUGAGUGAAGAAGUAUUUCGGUAUGUAAAGCUCUGUCAGCAGGGAAGAAGAAAGACGGUACCUGACCAAGAAGCCCCGGCUAACUACGUGCCAGCAGCCGCGGUAAUACGUAGGGGGCAAGCGUUAUCCGGAUCUACUGGGUGUAAAGGGAGCGUAGACGGCUGCGCAAGUCAGAAGUGAAAGCCCGGGGCUCAACCGCGGGACUGCUUUUGAAACUGUGUAGCUAGAGUGCAGGAGAGGG